Molecule: long non-coding RNA, 2431 nt
Filed under: Nicotiana benthamiana
Lineage: Eukaryota; Viridiplantae; Streptophyta; Magnoliopsida; Solanales; Solanaceae
Description: long non-coding RNA (NBEN_LNC012475)
Source: RNAcentral
CCAAUUGGGUUUUCUCGGGAAGGUUUUUAACGAGGCGGCUAAGGGGUCACCUGGAGAUGUUUGCACCGCAAGUGCAUCAUGUCCGCUUCUCCAUAAACUCUCCAAGCUAGACAAGAUAUAGGGACUGGAUUAGUGUCAUCUCCAAGUGAAUGAAAAGGCUACGGCCAUCUCCAGAUGAAUGUAAAGGCUACGGCCAUCUCCAGAUGAAUGUAAAGGCUACGGCCAUCUCCGGAUGAAUGUGAAGGCUACGGCCAUCUCCGGAUGAAUAUAAAGGCUACGGCCAUCUCCAAAAGAAUAUAAAGGCUACGGCCAUCUCCAAAUGAAUGAAGUGGCUAUGGCCAUCGUUUAUAUGGGUAAGGCCAUCAGGCUACGGCCUUUAUUUUACAUGGCUAUAGCCAUCGUUUAUAUGGCUAAGGCCAUCAGGCUAAGGCCUUUAUUUUAUAUGGCUAAGGCCAUCCGGUUACGACCUUUAUUUUACAUGGCUUAAGGCCAUCAGGCUACGGCCUUUAUUUUACAUGGCUAUGGCCAUCGUUCAUAUGGCUAAGGCAUCAAGCUAUGGCCUUCAUUUUACAUGGCUAUGGCCAUCGUUCAUAUGGCUAAGGCCAUCAGGCUACGGCCUCUAUUUUACAUGGCUAUGGCCAUCGUUCAUAUGGCUAAGGCCAUCAGGCUACGGUCUUUAGUUUACAUAGCUAUGGCCAUCGUUCAUAUGGAUAAAGCCAUCAGCCUACGGCCUUUAUUUUACAUGGCUAUAGUCAUCGUUUAUAUGGAUAAGGCCAUCAGGCGACGUCUUUUAUUUUACAUGGCUAUGGCUAUCGUUACAUGGCUAUGGCCAUCGUUCAUAUGGCUAGGGCCAUGAGGCUACGGCCUUUAUUUUACAUGGCUAUGGCCAUCGUUUAUAUGGCUAAGGCCAUCAGGCUACGGCCUUUAUUUUACAUGGCUAUGGCCAUUGUUCAUAUGGCUAAAGCUAUCAGGCUACGUCCUUUAUUUUACGUGGUUACGACCAUUAUUUUAUACGGCUGAGGCCGUUAGGCCGCGGCUUUUAUAUUACAUGGCUAUGGCCAUCAUUCUCAUCAGGCUACGGCCUCUAUCUGUACAUGGCUAGAGCCAUCGCAUUCACAAGGCUACGGCCGCCUAUUUUAUAUAGCUAAAGCCAUCAGGCUAACUUUACACCACUAUGGCCGACAAAUUCCAAGCGCGGCUACAACCAGAUCAUGAUAUCGCAUUCACAAGGCUACGGCCGCCUAUUUUAUAUAGCUAAAGCCAUCAGGCUAACUUGACACUGCUAUGGCCGAUCAAUUCCAAGCGACUACGAUAAAAGAAAAAUACGACAAACUGCCAAAAGGUAGAAGAAUUAUUUUUACCUACCACAAAAGUUACAUGUUUUCAUCAAGGGGAACAAACACCCCUAAUACAAAAAUCAGUAUAAACAAGUAUAUUUACAAGGACCUAAGAAAACCGCUACUUAUCUAGCCCGACCUGGCCCUCAGGUGGCCCGUCCUCAUUUCCGGGAGGGUACGCCAUGGAAAUCCAAGAGCUGGAUUCCAAGCGAUUGAUAUCUGCUGAGUUGCCCCCUCCCGGGCCGGUGACUCAGGACCAUAGCCCGCCGCCUCACGAGGGACUCUGACCAACCGGUGCUGGCUCUCAACUUUCUCUUCAAACGCUCGGCCAGCCGCAAGGAACUCCUCACGCACGACCAACCGAGCCUCAGCAUAAACCCACAUCUCGUGUGCUUCACGAGAGAUAUCAGCUUGCGCAAGAGCUCGCCUGAGCUCCUCAACUUCGGCCUUUGUGGCGUCCAGCUCCGCAGUUAAAGCCGCGACCCGGGUUCGUAGUUUUGCCGCUUCCUCCGCCACCACGCGGCCAAGCUGCAGCUCCUCAUCCUUGGCCUGGAGAAGGACCUCCAUCUCCGCGGCCCGAGCAACGGCGGCCAUGAGUUGUUCAUCAACUCUCUCCAGCUCGGCCACUCUCUUCUUCAACUGUUCCUCGGACUCGGCAGGACCCUCACGAACCACCCUAAUGUUAGGGUCCUGCUUAUACAUGUCCGCCAAGGUCGAGUGCGCCUCGCGCGUUCUAUCAUGCUCCUGCACCAGCCUAUUGUAUCUGGCCAUCUUCUCCUUCCGACGUCGUUCCCUCUCUACCUCCAAAACGAGAGUCUGUUAAAGAAACCAAGUACGAGAAAAAUCACCCUCCAACAAACGCAAAGAGAAAAGCCAUCAGGCAAGACAAAGGCAUACUUGUAAGGCCGCACUUGCCGCCCGUUGGGCCAAAACUUUGUCGCUGAGUUCCGCAAGGGUCUCACGCCCGGCGCCAGCGCACAAAAGCAUCAUACUAGAGGCCGCCUCCUCACAGUUCUCCAGCAAAUUAUAGUGACUUGGAAUCACUAUACGACGAGAAAAUCGAUCAUCCUCCAUUUCAACCCGGUCCAAGGACC